Molecule: non-coding RNA, 23 nt
Filed under: Arabidopsis thaliana (thale cress)
Lineage: Eukaryota; Viridiplantae; Streptophyta; Magnoliopsida; Brassicales; Brassicaceae
Source: RNAcentral
GGGAAAAAUAAAUUUUGGCGCCA